ACAAUGGUAGUAUAAAUUAGUAUUUCUAUUUUCCAAAUAGAGGGUUUCUGUAGGAAUUAUUGUA
This 64-nucleotide transfer RNA is filed under the name Meretrix lamarckii (Korean hard clam). RNAcentral's name for it is "tRNA-Gly". The record is from RNAcentral. Lineage: Eukaryota; Metazoa; Mollusca; Bivalvia; Venerida; Veneridae.